Maniola jurtina (meadow brown) is the source of this 216-nucleotide long non-coding RNA. RefSeq lists it as uncharacterized. The record is from RefSeq and is a predicted model, not a curated record. The transcript is spliced from 2 exons. Lineage: Eukaryota; Metazoa; Arthropoda; Insecta; Lepidoptera; Nymphalidae.
AGUAGAACGCCGAUUAUCCGAAUUAAUUGGGACCGGGGUCGAUUCGGAUAAUCGAAAAUUCGGAUAAUCGGACAUAGACUGGUAAUAAAGAAAAACGAACUGACACACAUAGAAUAAACUUUAUUAAAUUUAACAAACUCAAUUCUACAAUAUGACCGAUUCGGAUAAUUGGCGAUUCGGUUAAUCGGCGUUCGGAUAAUCGGCGUUCUACUGUAU